UGACUUUUUCCACUUCUUAUUUUCUUAAUAUUUUUGAAAUUUUGACCACUUAACUCUAGUACCCCAACCCCAAACUUAUAACUUUGCUCAUUUCCAAGAGCAACCCCAAACAUAAUAUUUUUCAUUCAACUUUAAGAAUCAAAAUUUUACCUUACUCCAAAGAGAGGGUUGAAAGAAAGAAUCAUUCAAAUCAAAUGGUUAAGAGUUGUAGGCUACGUCACCGAAAG
Molecule: long non-coding RNA, 227 nt
Filed under: Lathyrus oleraceus (garden pea)
Lineage: Eukaryota; Viridiplantae; Streptophyta; Magnoliopsida; Fabales; Fabaceae
Description: Pisum sativum (pea) long non-coding RNA (PSAT_LNC007916)
Source: RNAcentral